UACGUGGGGUGCAAGCGUUAAUCGGAAUUACUGGGCGUAAAGCGUGCGCAGGCGGUUCGUUAAGUUCGAUGUGAAAGCCCCGGGCUCAACCUGGGAACUGCAUUGGAAACUGGCGAGCUUGAAUGCGGCAGAGGGGGGUGGAAUUCCGCGUGUAGCAGUGAAAUGCGUAGAGAUGCGGAGGAACACCGAUGGCGAAGGCAGCCCCCUGGGCCGACAUUGACGCUCAGGCACGAAAGCGUGGGGAGCAAACAGG
Molecule: ribosomal RNA, 253 nt
Filed under: uncultured bacterium
Lineage: Bacteria
Description: partial 16S ribosomal RNA
Rfam family: Bacterial small subunit ribosomal RNA
Source: RNAcentral